RNAcentral lists this ribosomal RNA (335 nucleotides) under uncultured bacterium. RNAcentral describes it as "bacterial SSU rRNA". It matches the Rfam family "Bacterial small subunit ribosomal RNA", at positions 29 to 346 of the family's 1533-position model. The record is from RNAcentral.
AACGAACGCUGGCGGCGUGGAUAAGACAUGCAAGUCGAACGGGAACUUCAGCUGUAGCAAUACAGUUGAAGUUUUUAGUGGCGAACGGGUGCGUAACACGUGGGCAAUCUGCCUUAAAGUGGGGGAUAGCUCGGCGAAAGCCGAAUUAAUACCGCAUAUGGUGAGGGACGACAUCUUCCUGAAUCCAAAGCCGGGGCAACCUGGCGCUUUUUGAGGAGCCCGCGGCCUAUCAGCUAGUUGGUGAGGUAACGGCUCACCAAGGCUAUGACGGGUAGCUGGUCUGAGAGGACGACCAGUCACACUGGAACUGAGACACGGUCCAGACACCUACGGGU